CCCUAGCCCCGAUUGCAGUGGAAAUCCUUUUUUGCGUUGACUAAAGGUUCUAUUUAGAAAGAAAUCGUCGGGCAAAAAGAUUGCAACGGAAAGCGGGAAACAGC
This 104-nucleotide small RNA is filed under the name Epilithonimonas xixisoli. RNAcentral's name for it is "Chryseobacterium xixisoli Flavo-1 RNA". It matches the Rfam family "Flavo-1 RNA". The record is from RNAcentral. Lineage: Bacteria; Pseudomonadati; Bacteroidota; Flavobacteriia; Flavobacteriales; Weeksellaceae.